Molecule: non-coding RNA, 185 nt
Organism: Otolemur garnettii (small-eared galago)
Lineage: Eukaryota; Metazoa; Chordata; Mammalia; Primates; Galagidae
Source: Rfam
UUCCUUUUAUCUUCAACCCGGAGCCCCACGGCGGCUAAUACAAGAGGCCAAAAAUGUUUGGAGGAAGAAAAACAAAGGCAGGAAGUGGCGGCGGCCUGACGGGUGCGUGUGUGUCUGUGGAGAAGGGAAAGUAGGGAGGGAGCUGGUUCAAUCUCUUGUUUUUCCUAACUUCAAGGUCUAGGCAG